RNAcentral lists this transfer RNA (79 nucleotides) under Tenericutes bacterium ADurb.BinA155. Its description in RNAcentral is "tRNA-Pro". It matches the Rfam family "tRNA". From Rfam's summary of the family: Transfer RNA (tRNA) molecules are approximately 80 nucleotides in length. Their secondary structure includes four short double-helical elements and three loops (D, anti-codon, and T loops). The record is from RNAcentral. Lineage: Bacteria; Bacillati; Mycoplasmatota.
CGGGAUGUAGUGCAGCUUGGUUUAACGCGUCUGCUUUGGGAGCAGAAGAUCGCGGGUUCGAAUCCCGCCAUCCCGACCA